AGAUGAAGUCUCAUUGUGCUGCCAGGCUCGCCUCCAACUCCUGACCCUCUGCCUCAGUGUCCUGAGCAGCUUAGAUUGCAGACAAGCCAGCACCUCUAAGAGAAGUGGACAUGGAUUUGAUGGAUUUCAGUUUUUUGAGACUUUUCAGAGUAAACGCUGUAGAAGGUUGCAGAAGAAAGCAGAAUCAGGCAGAGGAAGAGCAUGGAGCCCAGGUGCAGGCCCAGGAAAUAACCUAGCGAACCACGCAGGGAGCUCAGCAGCUGAAGCUGCCUUCAGAGCUGCUCCUUGCACGAUGGAAAUGUCCCAGCCUGCAGGCCCGUGCUUCACUCACUCACAGAUGCAAGCUGCCUUGGAGCACGACCUUAACGCGGUGGGUUUCACACCUGCAACACAGCCGAGGCUCCGACAGCUGGAAGCUCUGCGGGGCGAUCGCCCACGGCUGCGCGCUGCCGUCGCCCCGGAGCCCGCACGGAUUGGCUCCACGCCCGCUGUAGACAGCAGCAUCCACGGCUGCUCACGUCCUUUAUGUAAAAUAGUGUAGUAUUUGCAUGUAUCUUACAAACAUCCUCCGAUAUUCUUUAAAUCAUCUCUAGAGUACUUAAUUCAACGUAAUAUUAUAUAAUAGUUAUACUAUUAUCAUCUAGGGAAGAUGAUAAGAAAAAAGUGUGCACUUGUGCGGCGCAGACGCAGUUUCCCCAAACGUUCCCCACCCGCGGCUGUUUGCAUCCACACAGAGGGAGGGCCAGCUGCUUCACUCCCUGACGGGGUGGGCAGUGCGUCUCUGUCCAUCAGUGUGGCUUGCAG
Molecule: long non-coding RNA, 804 nt
Organism: Octodon degus (degu)
Lineage: Eukaryota; Metazoa; Chordata; Mammalia; Rodentia; Octodontidae
Exons: 3
Source: RefSeq, a predicted model, not a curated record